This 822-nucleotide ribosomal RNA is filed under the name uncultured bacterium. Its description in RNAcentral is "bacterial SSU rRNA". It matches the Rfam family "Bacterial small subunit ribosomal RNA", at positions 79 to 897 of the family's 1533-position model. The record is from RNAcentral.
CUUGCUUCUCUUGAGAGCGGCGGACGGGUGAGUAAUGCCUAGGAAUCUGCCUGGUAGUGGGGGAUAACGUCCGGAAACGGACGCUAAUACCGCAUACGUCCUACGGGAGAAAGCAGGGGACCUUCGGGCCUUGCGCUAUCAGAUGAGCCUAGGUCGGAUUAGCUAGUUGGUGGGGUAAUGGCUCACCAAGGCGACGAUCCGUAACUGGUCUGAGAGGAUGAUCAGUCACACUGGAACUGAGACACGGUCCAGACUCCUACGGGAGGCAGCAGUGGGGAAUAUUGGACAAUGGGCGAAAGCCUGAUCCAGCCAUGCCGCGUGUGUGAAGAAGGUCUUCGGAUUGUAAAGCACUUUAAGUUGGGAGGAAGGGCAGUAAAUUAAUACUUUGCUGUUUUGACGUUACCGACAGAAUAAGCACCGGCUAACUCUGUGCCAGCAGCCGCGGUAAUACAGAGGGUGCAAGCGUUAAUCGGAAUUACUGGGCGUAAAGCGCGCGUAGGUGGUUCGUUAAGUUGGAUGUGAAAUCCCCGGGCUCAACCUGGGAACUGCAUUCAAAACUGACGAGCUAGAGUAUGGUAGAGGGUGGUGAAAUUUCCUGUGUAGCGGUGAAAUGCGUAGAUAUAGGAAGGAACACCAGUGGCGAAGGCGACCACCUGGACUGAUACUGACACUGAGGUGCGAAAGCGUGGGGAGCAAACAGGAUUAGAUACCCUGGUAGUCCACGCCGUAAACGAUGUCAACUAGCCGUUGGGAGCCUUGAGCUCUUAGUGGCGCAGCUAACGCAUUAAGUUGACCGCCUGGGGAGUACGGCCGCAAGGUUAA